Molecule: ribosomal RNA, 3029 nt
Filed under: Salmonella enterica subsp. enterica serovar Typhimurium str. USDA-ARS-USMARC-1899
Lineage: Bacteria; Pseudomonadati; Pseudomonadota; Gammaproteobacteria; Enterobacterales; Enterobacteriaceae
Description: bacterial LSU rRNA
Rfam family: Bacterial large subunit ribosomal RNA
Source: RNAcentral
GGGUUGUGAGGUUAAGCGACUAAGCGUACACGGUGGAUGCCCUGGCAGUCAGAGGCGAUGAAGGGCGUGCUAAUCUGCGAUAAGCGCCGGUAAGGUGAUAUGAACCGUUAUAACCGGCGAUACCCGAAUGGGGAAACCCAGUGUGAUUCGUCACACUAUCAUUAACUGAAUCCAUAGGUUAAUGAGGCGAACCGGGGGAACUGAAACAUCUAAGUACCCCGAGGAAAAGAAAUCAACCGAGAUUCCCCCAGUAGCGGCGAGCGAACGGGGAGGAGCCCAGAGCCUGAAUCAGCAUGUGUGUUAGUGGAAGCGUCUGGAAAGGCGCGCGAUACAGGGUGACAGCCCCGUACACAAAAGCGCAUGUGCUGUGAGCUCGAUGAGUAGGGCGGGACACGUGGUAUCCUGUCUGAAUAUGGGGGGACCAUCCUCCAAGGCUAAAUACUCCUGACUGACCGAUAGUGAACCAGUACCGUGAGGGAAAGGCGAAAAGAACCCCGGCGAGGGGAGUGAAAAAGAACCUGAAACCGUGUACGUACAAGCAGUGGGAGCCCCACCACCAAAGCAUUCUCUGGUGUUGAAGGCCCUGCAAAGCAGCAUCGCGGUGGCGGAGCGUCGUUUGCGACGCCCAACACACAAAACAAGCGGUGAAUGCUUUGGGGUGGGGUGACUGCGUACCUUUUGUAUAAUGGGUCAGCGACUUAUAUUCUGUAGCAAGGUUAACCGAAUAGGGGAGCCGGAGGGAAACCGAGUCUUAAUUGGGCGUUAAGUUGCAGGGUAUAGACCCGAAACCCGGUGAUCUAGCCAUGGGCAGGUUGAAGGUUGGGUAACACUAACUGGAGGACCGAACCGACUAAUGUUGAAAAAUUAGCGGAUGACCUGUGGCUGGGGGUGAAAGGCCAAUCAAACCGGGAGAUAGCUGGUUCUCCCCGAAAGCUAUUUAGGUAGCGCCUCGUGAAUUCAUCUCCGGGGGUAGAGCACUGUUUCGGCUAGGGGGCCAUCCCGGCUUACCAACCCGAUGCAAACUGCGAAUACCGGAGAAUGUUAUCACGGGAGACACACGGCGGGUGCUAACGUCCGUCGUGAAGAGGGAAACAACCCAGACCGCCAGCUAAGGUCCCAAAGUCAUGGUUAAGUGGGAAACGAUGUGGGAAGGCCCAGACAGCCAGGAUGUUGGCUUAGAAGCAGCCAUCAUUUAAAGAAAGCGUAAUAGCUCACUGGUCGAGUCGGCCUGCGCGGAAGAUGUAACGGGGCUAAACCAUGCACCGAAGCUGCGGCAGCGACGCUGAUGCGUUGUUGGGUAGGGGAGCGUUCUGUAAGCCUGCGAAGGUGACCUGUGAGGGUUGCUGGAGGUAUCAGAAGUGCGAAUGCUGACAUAAGUAACGAUAAAGCGGGUGAAAAGCCCGCUCGCCGGAAGACCAAGGGUUCCUGUCCAACGUUAAUCGGGGCAGGGUGAGUCGACCCCUAAGGCGAGGCCGAAAGGCGUAGUCGAUGGGAAACGGGUUAAUAUUCCCGUACUUGGUGUUACUGCGAAGGGGGGACGGAGAAGGCUAUGUUGGCCGGGCGACGGUUGUCCCGGUUUAAGCGUGUAGGUGUGUGUUCCAGGUAAAUCCGGUUCACUUUAACACUGAGGCGUGAUGACGAGGCACUACGGUGCUGAAGCAACAAAUGCCCUGCUUCCAGGAAAAGCCUCUAAGCAUCAGGUAACAUCAAAUCGUACCCCAAACCGACACAGGUGGUCAGGUAGAGAAUACCAAGGCGCUUGAGAGAACUCGGGUGAAGGAACUAGGCAAAAUGGUGCCGUAACUUCGGGAGAAGGCACGCUGACACGUAGGUGAAGUGAUUUACUCACGGAGCUGAAGUCAGUCGAAGAUACCAGCUGGCUGCAACUGUUUAUUAAAAACACAGCACUGUGCAAACACGAAAGUGGACGUAUACGGUGUGACGCCUGCCCGGUGCCGGAAGGUUAAUUGAUGGGGUCAGCGCAAGCGAAGCUCCUGAUCGAAGCCCCGGUAAACGGCGGCCGUAACUAUAACGGUCCUAAGGUAGCGAAAUUCCUUGUCGGGUAAGUUCCGACCUGCACGAAUGGCGUAAUGAUGGCCAGGCUGUCUCCACCCGAGACUCAGUGAAAUUGAACUCGCUGUGAAGAUGCAGUGUACCCGCGGCAAGACGGAAAGACCCCGUGAACCUUUACUAUAGCUUGACACUGAACAUUGAGCCUUGAUGUGUAGGAUAGGUGGGAGGCUUUGAAGUGUGGACGCCAGUCUGCAUGGAGCCGACCUUGAAAUACCACCCUUUAAUGUUUGAUGUUCUAACGUGGACCCGUAAUCCGGGUUGCGGACAGUGUCUGGUGGGUAGUUUGACUGGGGCGGUCUCCUCCUAAAGAGUAACGGAGGAGCACGAAGGUUGGCUAAUCCUGGUCGGACAUCAGGAGGUUAGUGCAAUGGCAUAAGCCAGCUUGACUGCGAGCGUGACGGCGCGAGCAGGUGCGAAAGCAGGUCAUAGUGAUCCGGUGGUUCUGAAUGGAAGGGCCAUCGCUCAACGGAUAAAAGGUACUCCGGGGAUAACAGGCUGAUACCGCCCAAGAGUUCAUAUCGACGGCGGUGUUUGGCACCUCGAUGUCGGCUCAUCACAUCCUGGGGCUGAAGUAGGUCCCAAGGGUAUGGCUGUUCGCCAUUUAAAGUGGUACGCGAGCUGGGUUUAGAACGUCGUGAGACAGUUCGGUCCCUAUCUGCCGUGGGCGCUGGAGAACUGAGGGGGGCUGCUCCUAGUACGAGAGGACCGGAGUGGACGCAUCACUGGUGUUCGGGUUGUCAUGCCAAUGGCACUGCCCGGUAGCUAAAUGCGGAAGAGAUAAGUGCUGAAAGCAUCUAAGCACGAAACUUGCCCCGAGAUGAGUUCUCCCUGAGACUUUAGGUCUCCUGAAGGAACGUUGAAGACGACGACGUUGAUAGGCCGGGUGUGUAAGCGCAGCGAUGCGUUGAGCUAACCGGUACUAAUGAACCGUGAGGCUUAACCUUACAACGCCGAAG